RNAcentral lists this ribosomal RNA (1798 nucleotides) under Trichinella spiralis. RNAcentral's name for it is "SSU rRNA". It matches the Rfam family "Eukaryotic small subunit ribosomal RNA". Lineage: Eukaryota; Metazoa; Nematoda; Enoplea; Trichinellida; Trichinellidae. The record is from RNAcentral.
AAGCUUGCUUGUCUCAAAGAUUAAGCCAUGCAUGUGUAAGCACACACUGUUUUAAAAGUGAAGCCGCGAAUGGCUCAUUACAACAGCCACAGUUUAUUAGAACUUACAAUCAUGGAUAACUGUGGUAAUUCUAGAGCUAAUACACGCACAAAAACUUCAACUGAAUUGGUUGAAGUGCUUUUAUUAGAACAAAAACCGAACGGCGUUUGACGAAUGUUGAACGUCGAAACUGUUUGGUGAAUCUGAAUAACUAUUUCUGAUCGCAUGGUCUAGCACCGGCGACAUCACUUUCAAGUGUCUGCCUUAUCAACCUUCGAUGGUAGCCUAUGCGACUACCAUGGUGAUAACGGGUAACGGAGAAUCAGGGUUCGACUCCGGAGAGGGAGCCUGAGAAACGGCUACCACAUCCAAGGAAGGCAGCAGGCGCGCAAAUUACCCACUCCCAGCUUGGGGAGGUAGUGACGAAAAAUAACGAGACGAUUCUCGUUUGAGAAACGUUAUCGAAAUGAGUACGCUUUACACACGCUAACGAGUAGCAAUUGGAGGGCAAGUCUGGUGCCAGCAGCCGCGGUAAUUCCAGCUCCAAUAGCGUAUAUUAAAGUUGCUGCGGUUAAAACGCUCGUAGUUGAAUUGUGGUCUUAGACAACAGUCCCCCUACAAAGGUGUGGCACGGUUGCUCGAGAUCUUCAUUCGUGGUUGCUGUUGUUGCUCUUCAUUGAGUGUCAAUGGUGCCUCGAGAUUUUACUUUGAAAAAAUUAGAGUGCUCAAAGCAGGUUGUGAUGCCUGAAUAAUGGUGCAUGGAAUAAUAGAAUACGAUCUCGGUUCUAUUUUGUUGGUUUUCGAACCGGAGAUAAUGAUUGAAAGGAACAGACGGGGGCAUUCGUAUUGCUGCGUUAGAGGUGAAAUUCUUGGAUCGCAGCAAGAUGAACAAUUGCGAAAGCAUUUGCCAAGAAUGUUUUCAUUAAUCAAGAACGAAAGUUAGAGGUUCGAAGGCGAUCAGAUACCGCCCUAGUUCUAACGGUAAACUAUGCCAACCAGCGAUUCGCCGAAGUUCAUUUAAGACUCGGCGAGCAGCUUCCGGGAAACCAAAGUGUUUCGGUUCCGGGGGAAGUAUGGUUGCAAAGCUGAAACUUAAAGGAAUUGACGGAAGGGCACCACCAGGAGUGGCAUGCGGCUUAAUUUGACUCAACACGGGAAAACUCACCCGGCCCGGACACUGGAAGGAUUGACAGAUUGACAGCUCAGCUCUUUCUUGAUUCAGUGGGUAGUGGUGCAUGGCCGUUCUUAGUUGGUGGAGCGAUUUGUCUGGUUAAUUCCGAUAACGAACGAGACUCUACCCUAUUAAAUAGUGACAGUAUUGUAUUUUUUGUGCUGAUCACUUCUUAGAGGGACUGGCAAAUUGAAAGCUGCACGAAAAAGAGCAAUAACAGGUCUGUGAUGCCCUUCGAUGUCCGGGGCUGCACGCGCGCUACAAUGAAAGCGUCAACGUGAGUUACGUCCUUACCUGAAAAGGUUUGGCAAUCGAAUGAAACGUUUUCUUGAAUGGAAUAGGGAAUUGCAAUUGUUUCCCUUGAACGAGGAAUUCCCAGUAAGCGUGAGUCAUUAGCUCGCGUUGAUUACGUCCCUGCCCUUUGUACACACGCCCGUCGCUACUACCGAUUGGAUGAUUUAGUGAGGUGUUUUGACUGGCGCCAGUAGUCGGAUAUGUAUUCGUCGCGCCGGGAAAUUUCCCAAACCAAAUCAUCUAGAGGAAGUAAAAGUCGUAACAAGGUUUCCGUAGGUGAACUGCGGAAGGAUC